GAAUAAAUGUCAAUUAAAUUUUGUUGACCAUUUGUAUUGGCUUAAUUGAGUUUGCUUGUUUGUUGUUGGGCCUUGGUCAAGGUAUAUUUGACUUUGUCAAAUUAAUAUCAUUGGAUUUAGGGGAUUGAUGGAAUGUACAUUCCAUCUCCCAAAAUGAAUGAAUGAUAUUAAUUUGGUAAAAGUCCUCAUUUGACCAAUUUGUGAUC
RNAcentral lists this long non-coding RNA (206 nucleotides) under Lathyrus oleraceus (garden pea). RNAcentral's name for it is "Pisum sativum (pea) long non-coding RNA (PSAT_LNC017692)". The record is from RNAcentral. Lineage: Eukaryota; Viridiplantae; Streptophyta; Magnoliopsida; Fabales; Fabaceae.